GUAGGCCUGGUAGACGGUGAUUGUGGUGUCCGUGUGCCGGGCACGGAUGCGGAACUUCGGUUCGGUUUCGACGGCUUGCGC
This 81-nucleotide transfer RNA is filed under the name Streptomyces eurythermus. Its description in RNAcentral is "tRNA-His". The record is from RNAcentral. Lineage: Bacteria; Bacillati; Actinomycetota; Actinomycetes; Kitasatosporales; Streptomycetaceae.